RNAcentral lists this ribosomal RNA (587 nucleotides) under uncultured bacterium. RNAcentral's name for it is "partial 16S ribosomal RNA". It matches the Rfam family "Bacterial small subunit ribosomal RNA", at positions 355 to 938 of the family's 1533-position model. The record is from RNAcentral.
UGGGGAAUUUUGGACAAUGGGGGAAACCCUGAUCCAGCCAUCCCGCGUGUGCGAUGAAGGCCUUCGGGUUGUAAAGCACUUUUGGCAGGAAAGAAACGUCGCGGGUUAAUACCCCGCGAAACUGACGGUACCUGCAGAAUAAGCACCGGCUAACUACGUGCCAGCAGCCGCGGUAAUACGUAGGGUGCAAGCGUUAAUCGGAAUUACUGGGCGUAAAGCGUGCGCAGGCGGUUCGGAAAGAAAGAUGUGAAAUCCCAGAGCUUAACUUUGGAACUGCAUUUUUAACUACCGGGCUAGAGUGUGUCAGAGGGAGGUGGAAUUCCGCGUGUAGCAGUGAAAUGCGUAGAUAUGCGGAGGAACACCGAUGGCGAAGGCAGCCUCCUGGGAUAACACUGACGCUCAUGCAUGAAAGCGUGGGGAGCAAACAGGAUUAGAUACCCUGGUAGUCCACGCCCUAAACGAUGUCAACUAGCUGUUGGGGCCUUCGGGCCUUGGUAGCGCAGCUAACGCGUGAAGUUGACCGCCUGGGGAGUACGGUCGCAAGAUUAAAAACUUAAAGGAAUUGACGGGGGUCAUAGCUGUUUCCU